CGCACCGACAACACCCCCCACCCUCCCCGGCACCAACACCCCCACGACAGCCCCCGCAGCACCAACACCCCCACACACAGCCUGCCCAGGAGCAGCUCUGCUCCAUCCCAACACCCCCAGCACAACACCCACGUGGUGCAGCACUGCGCCCGGCGUGGCAGCGCCGCUACCAGCAUCCCCAGUAUGUGUGCCCCACACCAGCAUCCCCCACACCAGCAUCCCCAGUACUGCUGUGCCCCACACCAGUAUCCCCAGUAUCAGUGUGCCCCACACCAGUAUCCCCCACACCAGUAUCCCCAGUACCAGUAGCUCCCAGUCCCACCAUCAGCCCACUACCGGCAGCCCUCGGAUCCAGCAUUGCCCAGUACUGGUCUGACUGGGAUCCAGCAUUGCCCAGUACUGGUCUGACUGGGAUCCAGCAUCCCCCAUGCUGGUCUGACUGGGAUCCAGCAUCCCUCGGUACCAGUAUGACUGGGAUCCAGCAUUGCCCAGUACUGGCAGCACUGGGAUCAUCACUGGGACCCAGCAUCCCUCCAUACUGGUAUCACUGGGACCCAGCAUCCCUCCAUACUGGUAUCACUGGGAUCCAGACCCCCAUACUGGUAUCACUGGUAUCCAGACCCCCAUACUGGUAUCACUGGGACCCAGCAUCCCCCCAUACCGGUGUAACUGGGAUCCAUCCCCCCAUACCGGUGUAACUGGGCUCCAUCCCCCCAUACUGGUGUAACUGGGACCCAGCCCCCCGUACGCCCCCCCACCCCGGCCCCCCCGUACC
This 775-nucleotide long non-coding RNA is filed under the name Phasianus colchicus (ring-necked pheasant). RNAcentral's name for it is "lncRNA (ENSPCLG00000013716.1)". Lineage: Eukaryota; Metazoa; Chordata; Aves; Galliformes; Phasianidae. The record is from RNAcentral.